UGUUGGCAACCCUGUGCUACAGCUGACUGAUAGUCGGUGCGGUAACAUUGCUAAUGAGGGAGGAGCGAACAAGGAAGAGCUGCGGAGUUAAGAACAACUUUGUGUCGGUGUUAGGAGUGGGGAACCAUUGUAAGGGACCAGGAUCCAGAAAUCAGCUAUGGCCAUUUCAAAAUGUCUUCCAGUCCUGAAGCACUUUAUUGGUGGAUAUUCUUUGAAAACAGGAGCAAUUUUCACAGGAUGGCUGGGUUUGGGUGCGGAUGUGUUGGAAUUGGUGCUUUCUGUGGUGUAUUUCCUUGCGUAUGGCAGACAAUUACCUGACUGGGAGUUGCUGCUCGUUAGUGCAGUGGGUGGAUGCGCUGUAGGUGGGAGUGUCUGUGGACUGCUUUUGUACGGAGCCUACAAAGCAAAGCGUUCUUUCCUGGUGCCGUACCUGAUACUGGGAGCUCUAGGCAUCAUCUCAAGUUCUCUUGUUAUAUCCAUUAUUGGCAUUUAUGCUGUCUUACAUGACUUUAAUACCUUUGCUGCCUCCAUGAUGCUUAUUGGAGCACUGAUAAUUGUUUUCUUGGCUUAUUUGUGGCUGAUUGUCUUCAGUUACUACCAGCAGCUUCAAAAGUGUACUUUGCUCGAGCAUCGAGGCUCUGUGGAAACUGUUCUCACUAUGCCAGAAAACGGAGACGUCCACACGUCACAUCACAAGUUUCUCCUUCGUGGAAAAUGUGAUGGGGCAGCCACUGGUCACAUUCCAGACACAAAACAACUGAUCUGCGAUGAGAAGUAGUGUUUCGGCAAUGCUGCAACUUUGCGACUCGGUAGCAAAAUGAAUUCAGCAACAUAAUUCUGAAGAUGCUACUUAAAAUUUGACGAAAGAAUAGCUGCAUUUUAUAUAUAAGAAUAAUUUCAAAACAUAUGCUUAUGUUUUAUUAAAAAUGUUAAUCUGUAACUGAAUUAGUAAUCAGCGAAUCUAAAUUAUGCAACAACUAGUUCCAUUAUACAUCUCGCUUGUACUUAUUAGCCACCCCAAUUUCUCGUGGAGCGUUGUAGGUUCUGCUCAGUUAUCUUAUUCUAUUUGAUACUCUAACCACGAGAGAUGAUUUAGCAUCAUUUAGUCUUCCUUUUCCUAAGAUAUUUCCACUUCAACUAAUAAUGGCGUUACCCAUCCUGUGUUCACACAUAAUUAAAUGAUGUUACGUGCGAUGUAGCCAGGUCCAAAAAACAGGCGUACACCUCGAAGUGUACAGGGAAUAAGGGCAUUUGACCCUGGCUUGAAUUUUUAAUUCUUAUGCUUUGUGGGAGACUACAGCUUCUGCUACCACUCUACUCCUUUCAUGGCCAACAUUCCAUGUUGACGGACUCGGAUAUUAUGGAGCCUAUUCUUGAUUAGACAGGAAAGCUCUUAAACAAUAAAGUAUUAUUAUAUAAACAGUAGUCCUUUGUAUUAUUAUUUAUGAAUGUUGUGAACAAAUUGCUUGCCCACGUUGAGCGAAAAGGAAAAAUAAUCUUCCCUGCUUUCUUCUGUUUGUGGUGAAACCUGUCGAGCGGUGCCAUGAAUCUCGCACUUUUUUAAUGCGACGCUGACAUGUUUCAAAGUCGAAAUGUAGGAGAAAGAUUAAAGUAAAGCUGCCCCACUGGACAGGUGAUAUAGCUCCUCAUUCUUAAUCUCGGCCUUAGAUGGGGUGAGCAGUUAGCAUCACGCCGCUUCCACGCUUUACCCCAGGGAAAGGACUCUGUGAAAAAGAUUAGAGGGAAACACAUUUAUCGGGUUGCUUGUAUUUCGUCACUCUGUGACAGACUCGUCACUUUCUUCUGCUCUGGGUGCUGCUGACAUUGACUCAGCUCUCCAAUGUGCAAGUCAGCUGGUCGCUGAGAAGUGACCAGAAUUUUCACCACGGACGAUAAUAAACAUUUUUAGUCUUUCUUUUCCAAAUGCAAAUUUAAGUUUAUGACGUCAUUGUGCUUACAGCAUGCGUCUGUCCGUACCUCACAAAAUUUUCUGCAAGUAUAAACUUUUAAUAACAUUUCGUAUGAACGAUAUACCAUCGGCAGCUAAUCGAUAAUCGAUAAUAACAACAUGGCGGACGCAAGAAUUUGUUAAGUGAGUGUCACAGUAGUACCAGUUACGACAAAUUUGACGUUUGUGAAGACCGUAGGCCACUGUACUCCACAGAUGGCGUACGUGGCCCUCAUUGUGUGGACAACAAUAACCACCCCGGAUUUCCUAACCGAGAAACAUAAUGGCGUUAAGACGAAGCGAGGGGAGGGGCGGAUUGUAGAAUCAGCAGGAGAAAUCGGCGUCGAUCUCAAGUCGAUCCAUAUCAAAAUCUACAUUGACUUAUGGCAAUACGAGGCAGUGACGACAGGGUAGACCCAUCUUGAUCCUGCCGUACCUCACGCUGAGCGUUCAGAUCUAUUUCUACAACCUGCAGGGAACGUACCUGUUCUGCGUCCACGUACUGUCACAUGACAGCGUAUUGAGACUUCUUCUGCUCUGCGAAACCACAGUUUGUUUCGACGUAUUCACUUUUA
Non-coding RNA from Zootermopsis nevadensis, 2523 nucleotides. The record is from RefSeq and is a predicted model, not a curated record. Lineage: Eukaryota; Metazoa; Arthropoda; Insecta; Blattodea; Termopsidae.